UGAAGAAGAGGAAGAAGACACUGAAGAGUCAGAUGACGAUUUAGAAGUUGAUGGUAUUGAUAGUGAUGAUGAUGUCAACUUAGAAGAUGAUUCUGAAUGAUACAUUGUAAAGUAUAUCAUAUUUUUAUAUAUAUUCAUAGACUUAAUAUUUGAUUAUUAUUUUUUCUAUUGUUUGUCUUUAUUAUUAAUUAAAACUAAUGGACAAUUAUUUUUUCAGAUGCCUCAAAGAGCAGUAUCAUCUAGAGGUAGAGGACAUAGCCAGCAGCUCUCUAUGAAUGAAACAGAUAAUCCAACUACAGAUUGUACUUCUCUAUCAGAUGAUUCAACAAAUUCAUAGAUUAGUUUUUAGUUUUAUGAACAUUGUUAAGUAUUAUUGAUUUAUUUUAAAUUUUAUGACGAUUGUUAAGUAUUAUGAAUUUAUUUUAAAUUUUAUGAACAUUGUUAAAUAUUAUGGAUUUAUUUU
RNAcentral lists this long non-coding RNA (463 nucleotides) under Manihot esculenta (cassava). Its description in RNAcentral is "long non-coding RNA (MESC_LNC002943)". The record is from RNAcentral. Lineage: Eukaryota; Viridiplantae; Streptophyta; Magnoliopsida; Malpighiales; Euphorbiaceae.